UUGCAUAUCUAGGGUGUAGGUUCCUCAAUCAUCUCAAAAUGAAUGCAGUUAUAGUCUCAUUGGUCAGUUGCUUAGUAGCCUCAAGCUCCUUCAUGGUCACAUCAAUGUCGCUAUUAAAAGUGUACUAAGACAAAAACUCAUGCAUAAGAUCUGCGCAACUCCGGAUCCUUGGAGCAUCGAGAGGAAGUAACACCAUUGCCACCUUUAAUUCCAUGAGCAUGGACUCCUCCGAUAGUCCAACCCACAACACCUUUCCACCUCAUUGAUUAUUUUGUCUAUGACUUCACCAGCUUCUAUAUUACCUACACCUGCAAUUUAUGGUACAAGG
Molecule: long non-coding RNA, 328 nt
Filed under: Vitis vinifera (wine grape)
Lineage: Eukaryota; Viridiplantae; Streptophyta; Magnoliopsida; Vitales; Vitaceae
Description: long non-coding RNA (VVIN_LNC007343)
Source: RNAcentral